Molecule: microRNA precursor, 68 nt
Filed under: Podarcis lilfordi (Lilford's wall lizard)
Lineage: Eukaryota; Metazoa; Chordata; Lepidosauria; Squamata; Lacertidae
Source: RNAcentral
UGGGCCUGACAUCAGCCUGCUUGGGACUUUUGUGUUAUGACAUCCCAAGUAUGAUGAUGUCAAGCCCA